RNAcentral lists this ribosomal RNA (254 nucleotides) under uncultured bacterium. Its description in RNAcentral is "partial 16S ribosomal RNA". It matches the Rfam family "Bacterial small subunit ribosomal RNA", at positions 524 to 776 of the family's 1533-position model. The record is from RNAcentral.
GACGAACCAUGCGAACGUUAUUCGGAAUCACUGGGCUUAAAGCGCGUGUAGGCGGGCCGGCACGUCGGCCGCUGAAAGCCCCCGGCUCAACCGGGGAAGCGGCGCCGAUACGACCGGCCUGGAGGGGGGUAGGGGGAGCCGGAACUCACGGUGGAGCGGUGAAAUGCGUUGAGAUCGUGAGGAACGCCCGUGGCGAAAGCGGGCUCCUGGGCCCCGCCUGACGCUGAGACGCGAAAGCCAGGGGAGCGAACGGG